Molecule: ribosomal RNA, 457 nt
Filed under: Neogea nocticolor
Lineage: Eukaryota; Metazoa; Arthropoda; Arachnida; Araneae; Araneidae
Description: partial 16S ribosomal RNA
Rfam family: Bacterial large subunit ribosomal RNA
Source: RNAcentral
CUUACUGUAAUUAAUUUGUUGUAAGUAACACCUGCUCAAUGAAAAAACUUAAAUAGCCGCGGAAAUAUAACCGUGCUAAGGUAGCAUAAUCAUUAGCCUCUUAAUUAGAGGCUCGUAUGAACGGUGAAACAUUUCAAUUUCUUUUUUAUUUACUUUAUUCAAAUUUAAAUUAAGAAUAAAAAUGUUCUUAUUUUUAAAAUAGACGAUAAGACCCUUUUGAACUUAACUUGAGUUAGGCUGGGGCAGCCAAUUAAUAAUUAUCUUACUUUUAUAUAAUUAAAUUAAUGACCCAAUAAAAUUGAUUUAAUGAACAAGUUACCAUAGGGAUAACAGCGUAAUACCUUUUUAAAGCUCUUAUUAAAAAAGAAGAUUGCGACCUCGAUGUUGAAUUAGUGUUACUUUACUGAUGCAGUAAUUAUAAAAGUGGGUCUGUUCGACCUUUAAAACAUUACAUGAU